RNAcentral lists this unclassified non-coding RNA (404 nucleotides) under Hevea brasiliensis (rubber tree). Lineage: Eukaryota; Viridiplantae; Streptophyta; Magnoliopsida; Malpighiales; Euphorbiaceae. The record is from RNAcentral.
AUGAUACAUAUGGUACAUGACCGAUGCAGAACCACUUACAAAGCAAAUUUCGGACAUAAAAUGAACAUGAAAAUCUAGAGGCAUGCAACCAAUCCAUAUUACACAUUACAAAGUUGAAAAUUAAUUUUAUGAUCUUAGCUGCCACACAUUUUAUUUACGAGAGCACUUGUAUGAGGAUUCCAUGGGCUGUAUAAAGCAGCAUGCAAAAGCUCAAGAAGAUGAAGUAGGAUUGGAAGUGGAUGGAUUGAAUGCAAUCUGCUCAGCACAAGUAAGAUACUCAUGGGGCCCUGCCUCUUCUCGACCAACUCCCAUCAAGUCCAAGUAAUAUUGAUAAUGUGAGAUGAUGUCGUUCAUGGCAUCAAUAUCACCCUGGCCACAAACCAUAUCACCAUAGAGAAUAUUCA